GGAGAGGUGUCCGAGUGGUUGAAGGAGGCGGUCUUGAAAACCGUUGAACCGCGAGGUUCCGGGGGUUCGAAUCCCCCCUUCUCCG
Molecule: transfer RNA, 85 nt
Filed under: Spirochaetales bacterium
Lineage: Bacteria; Pseudomonadati; Spirochaetota; Spirochaetia; Spirochaetales
Description: tRNA-Ser
Rfam family: tRNA
About the family: Transfer RNA (tRNA) molecules are approximately 80 nucleotides in length. Their secondary structure includes four short double-helical elements and three loops (D, anti-codon, and T loops).
Source: RNAcentral